This 253-nucleotide ribosomal RNA is filed under the name uncultured bacterium. Its description in RNAcentral is "partial 16S ribosomal RNA". It matches the Rfam family "Bacterial small subunit ribosomal RNA", at positions 524 to 776 of the family's 1533-position model. The record is from RNAcentral.
UACGAAGGGGGCUAGCGUUGUUCGGAAUUACUGGGCGUAAAGCGCGCGCAGGCGGCUAUCCAAGUCAGUGGUGAAAGCCCGGAGCUCAACUCCGGAACUGCCAUUGAAACUGUUUAGCUUGAGGAUGAGAGAGGUGAGUGGAAUUCCCAGUGUAGAGGUGAAAUUCGUAGAUAUUCGCAAGAACACCAGUGGCGAAGGCGGCUCACUGGCCCGGUACUGACGCUGAGGUGCGAAAGCGUGGGGAGCGAACAGG